This 468-nucleotide ribosomal RNA is filed under the name uncultured bacterium. RNAcentral's name for it is "partial 16S ribosomal RNA". It matches the Rfam family "Bacterial small subunit ribosomal RNA", at positions 28 to 507 of the family's 1533-position model. The record is from RNAcentral.
GAUGAACGCUGGCGGCGUGCUUAAUACAUGCAAGUCGAACGGAAAGGCCCUGCUCUUGUUGGGUUCUCGAUUGGCGAACGGGUGUGUAACACGUGAGUAACCCGUCCUUGUCUUUGUGAUAACUCCACGAAACUGGGGCUAAUAUCGGAUAGGAGCUCCUGCUGCAUGGUGGGCGUUGGAAAGUGUCGGCGGUUGUGGAUAGACUCGCAGCUUAUCAGCUUGUUGGUGGGGUAGUGGCUUACCAAGGUUUCGACGGGUAGCCUGCCUGAGAGGGUGACCGGGGUCCUUGGGACUGAGGUACGGAGCAGAAGCCUACGGGAGGCAACAGUGGAGAAUAUUGCAGAGUAAGCCGGAGCCUGAUGCAACGACGCUGCGUGCGGGAUGACGGCCUUUGGGUUGUGAACCACUUUCGCAUGUGACAAAGCGUGAGUGACGGUAAUGGGUAAGGAAGCACCGGCUAACUACGUG